RNAcentral lists this long non-coding RNA (206 nucleotides) under Elaeis guineensis (African oil palm). Its description in RNAcentral is "long non-coding RNA (EGUI_LNC016675)". Lineage: Eukaryota; Viridiplantae; Streptophyta; Magnoliopsida; Arecales; Arecaceae. The record is from RNAcentral.
CUCUAUCUCAUCUUUUUGCCCAAAGAUGUACCUGUAAGGUCUAAUAUUGAUAGGGUUGGAUCCUGGCAAUAGUGGUAUUUGAUGAUCCUAUGGUCUGUUAGGUGGCAAAUCCUUAGAUUCUUGGAAUACAUCUGAGUACUGCUCUAGCACCUCCUUCACUGAAGAAGGUAUCUCCGCUUCGACUUUGUCUCCCUCAGAAUUCACCC